CGACCCUCAAGUAUAACUUGGUGUUGGGUGAAGUCCUUUAUGGGGACCCACCCUUAACUUAUAGGCGGUCAUCGCCCGCUUUCCCCUAGCGUAGCAGGCUUACACGCACUCGCUCGGGGACAGGUGAUUUGACUUGCUCAAAAACCCUUUUUUAAAAG
Molecule: unclassified non-coding RNA, 158 nt
Filed under: uncultured Ascomycota
Lineage: Eukaryota; Fungi; Ascomycota
Description: sequence contains ITS2
Source: RNAcentral